Molecule: ribosomal RNA, 374 nt
Filed under: uncultured bacterium
Lineage: Bacteria
Description: bacterial SSU rRNA
Rfam family: Bacterial small subunit ribosomal RNA
Source: RNAcentral
GACAGAGGGUGCUAGCGUUGUUCGGAAUUACUGGGCGUAAAGGGCGCGUAGGCGGCUCGUUUAGUCGGGUGUGAAAUCCCGGGGCUCAACCCCGGAACUGCAUUCGAUACUGGCGGGCUAGAGACCGGAAGAGGUGGGUGGAAUACCCAGUGUAGAGGUGAAAUUCGUAGAUAUUGGGUGGAACACCGGUGGCGAAGGCGGCUCACUGGUCCGGUUCUGACGCUGAGGCGCGAAAGCGUGGGGAGCAAACAGGAUUAGAUACCCUGGUAGUCCACGCCCUAAACGAUGUGUGCUAGAUGUCGGGGGACUUGUCUCUCGGUGUCGGAGUUAACGUUUUAAGCACACCGCCUGGGGAGUACGGCCGCAAGGUUAAA